RNAcentral lists this long non-coding RNA (326 nucleotides) under Rhinopithecus bieti (black snub-nosed monkey). RNAcentral describes it as "lncRNA (ENSRBIG00000046708.1)". Lineage: Eukaryota; Metazoa; Chordata; Mammalia; Primates; Cercopithecidae. The record is from RNAcentral.
GAAGAAGGGAUGCAUAGAAGCUCUAAAGAGACCCUUCUCCCUCCUUUCCCCCCCACCCCCAGAGCUGCUCUCUGGGAAGGAAGGCACCUCUGGAACAUCUCCUGAACUUCAGCUUGACAGAUAUUUCCAAAAUAAUAGUCUCAUUUUCGGAAGACAAGAAUGGGACGGACGAGGAAACAGGACAGGACAGGAGAAAUAAUUGAUAAACCCAGCGACCAUCAACCUUAAAGGAGGGUGCCUCCCUCGCCACCUGGUUAAAAUUCCUCCUCCUCUCCCCACUUCCCUCCAUCCAUUUUGCUCUGUGCUGUUUAAACAAUACUUCAUCA